UGGAAAGGAGAAUAUUCGGUAUUAAUCAUACGGAAUAUUAAGGUGACAGUAGUGUAAAUAUAGGAGAUUGAGUCAAAGGUAGAACCAAGAAAAUUAGUUAGGAUGAUUUGAUUUCAUACAGUUGUUAAUUUCCCAUACUCUUGUAUUUCGAUUUAAGUGUACAUUGUAAACUUACAAAAUCACAACAAUACAAGACUUUCUUUCUCAUAUUAGAUUAUAUGGUAUCAGAGCUCCAGAUCUCUUAAAUGAGAAAAGAAAAUCCUAGCCAUCUUCCACCAUGUCUGACAUUGGUUUCGAGUCCUCAAACACCCCUAUGAACUAGCAGAAAACUUUUGAAACGGAGUCCUCCAUCAACAGGUCACAGGUUUCCCCUCCAGAUUUCCAUUUUGUCCAGAUUACUUCAAUACGCCUGAAUGAAGAAAAUUUCCUUUGCGUCCAGUCAGUACGUAUGUACAUCCGUAGAAGAGGCAAAAUUGGCUACCUGACAGGAGAAGGAGCCUGCCCUUAAGGAUCCAACUCAUCCCACUUGGGAUGCUGAGAACUCUAUGGUGAUGACUUGGUUGGUCAAUUUUAUGGAUGAAGAUAUCAGCUCCAACUCUAUGUGCUAUGACGCUGCUAAGGAGCUCUGGGACAACAUCAACCAUAUGUAUUCAGACUUGGGAAGGCGUAUGAAUUGAAGCUGAAACUUGAAGAAAUCUGCCAAGGUCAAACAGCGUCAUCAAGUACUUCAAUUCUCUGAAACACCUAUGGCAAGAUUGAGACUUAUUCACUGAUUAUGAGUGGAAAUCCCCAGACUAUUGUAACCACUAUAAGAAGAUAGUUGAGGACAACCGUAUUUUUAAAUUUCUUGUUGGACUUAACAUUGAGUUUGUUGAGGUUAGGGGAAGGAUAUUGGCAAACAACCUCUACCAUCAAUCGAGGAAGUUUUCUCUGAAGUUCAUCGUGAGGAAAGUCAUCAACUUGUCAUUCUCGGUAAGAACACAACUGUCAGUACCAUUGAAAGUUCUUCCCUUGUUGCUAGUCGAACCAACCCUACGGAAGAUUGAUGAGAAGCCUUGUCUGUGGUGUGAUCAUUGCAACAAAUCAGGCCAUACCUGUAACACUUGCUGGAAGAUACAUGGAAAACCAGCAAAUUGGAAACGAAAACAUGAAGGCAGGUUUAACCGCUCACCAUGAACGGCCUCUAACCGCUCACCAUGAACGACCUCUAACCACUCAUCCACUACACACGAAGCUGAAGGUGUUCCCUUUAGCAAAGAGCAAAUGAAUCAUAUCCUUAAACUGCUGAAAUCUAACUCAGAAUUGUCGGGUACUCCUAAUGCUUCUCUUGCUCAAACAGGUAGUCAAUCAAAUUCCCUCUCAUGUAUUUCACAUUUUGUUUCUUGGAUUAUUAAUUCAGGAGCUUCUGAUCGCAUGAAAACUUUCACGUUUGUUGUAUACUUAUAUUACUUGUUCUGGUCAUGAUAAAAUACGUACAACAGAUGCCUCUUUUUAUCCCAUUGCAGGCAAAGGUUUGAUAAAUUUAUCUAUAACCUUAUCACUGAAAUAUGUUUCCAUGUACCGAAACUUGCACGUAAUCUCCUAUCGGUCAGUAAAUUAACUAAAGAUUCUAAUUGUCGUGUCAACUUCUUUGAAUCCCAGUGUGUUUUAGGACCAGAGCUUAGGGAAGAUGAUUGGGAGUACUAAGAUGAUAGACGGCCUCUACCAUUUAGAAAAUGAAGAU
Molecule: long non-coding RNA, 1723 nt
Filed under: Olea europaea subsp. europaea
Lineage: Eukaryota; Viridiplantae; Streptophyta; Magnoliopsida; Lamiales; Oleaceae
Source: RNAcentral